Molecule: ribosomal RNA, 470 nt
Filed under: uncultured bacterium
Lineage: Bacteria
Description: bacterial SSU rRNA
Rfam family: Bacterial small subunit ribosomal RNA
Source: RNAcentral
GACGAACGCUGGCGGUGCGCCUUAUGCAUGCAAGUUGAGCGAAGCUUUUCAGUAGUUUACUACAGAAAAUGACUGAGCGGCGAACGGGUGAGUAACGCGUGAGCAAUCUACCUUAGUUACAGGGAUAGCCCGAGGAAACUCGGAUUAAUACCUGAUAUUCUUUAUAUUUCGCAUGAAAUUAAAAGGAAAGGUCAGCCGAACUAAGAUGAGCUCGCGUUCUAUCAGCUAGUUGGUGAGGUAAAAGCUCACCAAGGCUACGACGGAUAGCUGGUCUGAGAGGACGAUCAGCCACACUGGGACUGAGACACGGCCCAGACUCCUACGGGAGGCUGCAGCAGGGAAUAUUGCGCAAUGAGCGAAAGCUUGACGCAGCGACACCGCGUGUGGGAUGACGGAUCUAGGUUUGUAAACCACUUUCAGGAGGGAAGAAAAUGACGGUACCUCCACAAGAAGCCCCGGCCAACUACGUG